Mus caroli (Ryukyu mouse) is the source of this 271-nucleotide long non-coding RNA. RefSeq lists it as uncharacterized. The record is from RefSeq and is a predicted model, not a curated record. NCBI's taxonomy places the organism in Eukaryota, Metazoa, Chordata, Mammalia, Rodentia, Muridae.
GAGGACCAGCAGCGCUAGGGCUGUGGCACAGCUGCCCACAAUUGCAGGCACCGCCCACAGAGGUCAAAGACCAAGAGUUAUGACGAGAUCAAAUUUAUAUUAUGAACAUCAGAAAGAACAAAAUCAAGCCCAAUUGCUACAACUACAAGACCAUGGGAUGUGCAAUCAUUGACCAUAUGUCUUCCAAACAGCCAAUGUUUUUCAGAUACUGGCUGCUAACACCUCGUCUUGGGAGUCCUCCCCAGUUCAUCCUCAUAAAGAGCCUGAAAGA